ACAUUAUUUUACAAAGUGUUACAUUUGCCAGUGUCUGUCUUGCCUGGUAGCCUUAGCUCAAUUCCCUUGUCAGUACAAUUACAACAUUUGUAGAAUUGUUACUUCUUAUAGGAAGGCGCUGAUGGGAAUCCUGAAUGCGUUUUUUGGGACUUUGAUUUGGAAAACGGACAAGGCGACUGGUCCAACGAAGGCUGUGAUUACAACGAAACAUCCGACGGCCGUGUCGUAUGCUUCUGUGACCAUUUAACAAACUUUGCUGUUAUUUUGGAUUAUUCUGGUCAAGCCGGUCCAACCACGAGGUUUCAAGAUUCGUUGACCUACAUCAGCAUCAUAGGAUGUGUAAUAUCUAUUGUCUGCUUGGUUAUCACUAUUUUUACAUUUAUGUACUUCAAACACUUACGAGGAAAGCGCCCUCAACGGAUACUUAUUAACUUGUGUUUUUCUCUGCUGUUUCUGUAUCUAACUUUUGUCAUCGGGAUUGAGUUGACGAGUUGUCAUAAUUGCUGUAUUGUCGUGGCCAUCAUGUUGCAUUACUUCGUUCUAACGUCGCUGUCGUGGAUGCUUGUUGAAGCGAUAAAUAUGUAUCUAAAAUUUGUUUUGAUAUUUUACGAAGAAAUACGUUGUUUUAUGUUGAAGUCCGCACUCCUUGGCUGGGGUAAGUUUACCCAAGCUCAUUUCUGACUUGCACGUGUUUACGAACAGAAUAUGGUUGUAUCAAAAUUAGUACAAGUUGAAUCAUAUGAAGUAGAAAGUAUUUAUGCAUUAUAGAAAAACUAAAUGUUAUAAAUAUCUGUUUGAAGGUCUUU
Long non-coding RNA from Anneissia japonica, 806 nucleotides. RefSeq lists it as uncharacterized. The record is from RefSeq and is a predicted model, not a curated record. Lineage: Eukaryota; Metazoa; Echinodermata; Crinoidea; Comatulida; Comatulidae. The transcript has 3 exons.